Molecule: long non-coding RNA, 325 nt
Organism: Bos indicus x Bos taurus (hybrid cattle)
Lineage: Eukaryota; Metazoa; Chordata; Mammalia; Artiodactyla; Bovidae
Source: Ensembl
AGAAUCUCUGGAAUGUUACGUAACCAAGAAAGCUUUUUGACUCUGUUUCACUUCUGCAGGUGCAGUAUUUUUCCCCUUGCCAUGCUUGUGACAUGUACAGGAGGAAACUGUCCAAUGCGGCACUUGGGAAUGACGGACAUCUAGUCAACAUGUUUGUUGCUGUUUGAAGAGUCGCGGAUUGUUGAUACAAUGACUCCUCUGCUGUUUCAUAAAGGUCAUGUGUCACAUACAUCUUGUCUGCAGAGGCUCAUCCACCUAAAGGUGAGCACUUGAGGAAGAACAAGAUGUUUAUCUGCAUGCAUUUGUUGGGAAUUGGGAAUGGAAC